CUCUUAACUUAUUUGAUGAGAGAGAGAGAGAAAGAAAGAGAGGGCUUUCCAACUCAUUACAACUCACUCAAAUCAAUGACGCUGCUAAAAGAGCGCUUUCCAACUCUCUCUUAUUAACUCUAAUUCUACAGGUUGAUAAUCUCGACUAGCACAAGCAUAAAUUUAAAAAUAUAUUUUAAACUUUAAAAACAUGUUGUUUUAAAAUUUUCAUAGACUAUGCAUUUUAAUUCUUUCAAAAUAAAAUAUCAUAAAAUUCAAAUUUAAAUUCUAAUUCUAAUUCUAUUUUUUAAAAUUCAUAAUCAAAGUGGUUGAGAUUAUUGGCCUAUAAAAGUUUAGUCCAAAAGUCAUUCUCUAAUAGAGAUUUUGGGAAGAGGACCACAUUAGCAACUCAUAAACUUUUCCCUUUGCUUUCCUUCAAAAAAAUAUAAGAUAAAUCACAAAGUGUCAACAAGGUUUGGUUUGGUUAGAAUUUCAAAGUUAAAAUUGAUGUACUUCCAUGGUUUACCAUGAACAUUAUUAAGGAAAGUGUACAAUGUCUACCGGGUUACUAUGGAAAGUGUAUGGGAAGGCUAAGUGCAAUAUCAUGCAUUUUCUGGUAGUUCUCAAUAUCUUAUACGUGUUUAUGAUUCAUUUCCAUUCCUAUCGUAUAUCCCAAGUUUCUCUUCAGAGAAACUUUGGACUUUAACAAACAUGAUGUCAUUUCCAAGUACUCCCCAUGAACUGGUGGUAUUUGUUAACCAACACUUCACAAAAAGUUUACUUUCAAGUUAGUGGUGAACGUUUUUUAUUAAAAAAAAAUGAUCUUCUUUACCCAUUCUUUUGCUUAAUUUUUCUAAAGAGAUAUAUCAAAACUCUUUAACAUUUUACCGAUUUCAUAUAAAUUUAAAAACUCAUCAAAAUGCAAAUAUUGGAAUAUUUAAAAAUUGUUAAAAUAUUAAAAAUUUGAUAAAUUAGUUAUAUAUUAAUAAAUUUUUCUUUUUAUAUUGAGGAUGAUGUGUAUUUGCACGUUUUUUUUUCUCUAUUUUGUGGUGGGUUUUCAUUCGUGUACGUAGAGGUGAAGGAGUGUUGCUUCCAAUUAGUUAGACCCAAGAUGUGGGGGGAUAAGUACUUCUUAGUAAUAUGUAUGUAGGAGGAGGUAAGACUAAGGAAAAAAUAUUGAAAAUGUUGGAGAGAGAGAGAGAUCCUCCUUUGAGUAGCUUCAUUAAUUUAAACAAGGUUGUGCAUGAGCUUCUUACCUGUAAGAAUCAUCAUGAUCGUCCGAGUUUUAUCCCAAUAAUUUGGGGUCGACAAUACGAAUCUUAUUUCAUACCCUCAGUCAGACCAUUAGUCACUAGAUCUAAUCUCAUUACUUCCAUCAAUAUCUAUUUGGGCCAUCCCCUUGUCCUUUUAGUGCUGUCUAUUUGAACUAAAUCUCUCCGUCAAACCUACUAUGUCUUAGGUCAAUACUACACAUGACCAAGACCGUCUAAGUCUACUUUCUUUCAUUUUAUCACCUAUUGGAUUUAUUCUUAAAUCUCCUCGAAUGUAUUCAUUUCGAAUUUCAUCUUUUAUUAUCAUACCACUGAGCCAUUGCAACAUCCUCAUCUAAGAUACACUAACUUUAUGGAUAUUUUAUUUCUCGACUGCUUAUACAUUCCAUCCCAUAGAAAUUCCCUUAUAGUUUUAUUGGUAUGUGACCAUGACAUAAGACUCCAGAUGCACAUCUCCACUUCAUCCACCCAGCUCUAAUCAUAUAAACACAACCCAAGAUAUUCAAAUGUUAUUGGUGAUGAUGAUGCACACCCUAAAAUAUGAAAGGAAUUAUGGGGUGUUGGAGAAGGAGAGAGCAAUCGAAAGUGCACAAGAGGCAUGGUUACAGCUUGAGCAGGGGAGCGAAACUUUUUAUACCUAUUUGAAGUAGGAUAAGCAUCGUAUGCUUCAAUAACUAAGGAAAAUUAUAGUUCAUGGGAGUGAAAGAAACUUUGAAGUGGUUGCAGCAUCCCAAUGGCAAGUCAAAUCCUCUCCAUUAUUGGAAAUCAUUUCAUUCGAUAAUAUGCAAUGUACUUUUCCUUUUAAAAUUUGCACCAUCGUUCUCAAUUAUUAUUAUAAUUUAAGAGGUGGCGUCAAGCAACCUUUUCUUUCUUCUUAAACACACACUAGCUUCUUUUGUUCCCCCUCUAAAAUGUAAAAUAAUAGACUCAUUUUGGUGAAUCAGUUGUAAUCAAUGGUUUAAAAACCGGAUCGGUGACCCGGAUCAGGCUACCAAAAAACCGAUCCGGAUCGGUGAAUCGGCGAUCGGGAUCAGGAAUGGGGUGAAUCGGUCAGAAUAAAGCUUAAAAAAAAUCCUAAAAAAUUAUUAAAAUUCAUUAUAAAUAUUGUUUUUUAGGAAUUCAAUAAGAAAUGAAGGUACUCCAUUAAGAAUUUCCAUGUUUUUGAAUGAAUAUGCGAAUAUUGAUAUGUUCUUUCCUUACAUGAACCGCCAUUCAACAUUUAAUUUACAUCACACAAAAGGAUAAACAUAUAAUUAUCAUGGAAUAAGUAUAUCAACAUACAUGGACUACAAUAAAGCAUAAAAUUAGUAACAUAUGAUCUAAAAAUAAAAUGAUAGACGACGUUAUUGUUCUUCUUGGUCACGCUGGUGCCAUUGAUUGAAUUCGUUUAACAAUUCAUUGAUUCGAUCUAAAAACGAAUCAUCGAUAUUAGCAGGCGUCUGACUAUUCCCAAAUCCCUAAGUGUUAGUGUUUUGUUGUGUUCCCAAUCUAAAAUCCCCGAAGAUUGUCCAUCUUUCAUGCUCACCUGCACUGUCGUGCUCAUCCCUACAUUGUUGCCGUUGGGACUCGAUAUGUAAAUAAUAUGGCUGGGAUAGAGUGGCCUCAAAAUCAUCAUCUCUCUCAUUUUCUCUUUGAAUAAUAUGGAAUUAAAAAAAAAAAACAAAUUUCCAAAAAAAUCGAUCCUGGAUUAAAAAAAAAAAAUUACAAAUUUUCAAAAAAUUCUAUCAUGGAUUAAAAAAAAAAAUCACAAAUUUUAAAAAAAUUUUAUCAUGGAUUACAAAAAAAAAUUCGNNNNNNNNNNNNNNNNNNNNCUCUAUCAUAGGGUUAACAAAAAAAAAAAAACAAAAAAUUCGCUCAUGGAUUACAAAAAAAAACAAACAUUUCAAUCUUGGAUUACAAAAAAAAACAAACAUUUCGAUCAUGUAUUACAAAACAUUCGAUCAUGGAUUACAAAAAUUCUAUCAUGGGUUACAAAAAAAAAAAAUUCGAUCAUGGAUUACAAGAAAAAAAAACAAACAUUUCGAUCAUGGAUUACAAAAAAUUCGAUCAUGGAUUACAAAAAAUCUAUCAUGGGUUACAAAAAAAAAAAAAAACAAAAAAAUUCAAUCAUGGAUUACAAAAAAAAAAAAAUUCGAUCAAGGAUUACAAAAAAAUCGAUCAAGUAUUACAAAAAAAUCUAUCAUGGAUUACAAAACAAAAAAAAGAAAAAAAAAAUUCCGUACGGGACUCGCCGAUUCAUUGUACGGAUUCGCUGAUUCCGUACAAUGAAUCGGCGAGUCACUGUACAGAAUCAUCCGGUUCUCUCUAGAACCGAACGAUUCCCGUUUUUUUUGCCGAUUCGAUCCGUCCAUGACGAUUCCCGAGUCGAACCGGACUUCGACUAGGCAUUUUUUUAAACACUGGUUGUAAUAGAAAAGAAGAAAGUCUAUAGCUCACUCUUGGACCCAAACAUCCAAGAAAAUCACAAAAUAAAAAAACCAAAAAGGGCUACUAUCAUUGCUUUUUAUAUUCAAUAUAAGCAUAGUUCAAACUUCGAAGAGAUUUAAUUCUCUUGAUUUUGGACCGGCGAACCAAAGUUAGACUCUCCAGUUCCUUGCCAAAGAAGUUUUUGUCUCAUGUUAUUAGCAUUUUGUGGAAGAAAUUAACCAAAAAGAAAAGAACAAUUUGUUAGAAUCCAAGUGUUUAAGAUAAGAUAAGGUACAACAAUAUUGUUAAUAAUGAAUAAGUAUGCGAUAAUACUAUUUACCUUUUGCAUAAGAUAGUCAUAAUCACUUUUAGCUCACAAAUAUGAAAACUUUAGAUGUGAUGAGUGUGCUUUCAUAACCCUCAUUGAUUAAAUUUUUUUUAUUUAUAUAUUUUGAACUUUGUGUAAAAGUAUUACACAUCCUAACCACCCAAUUCCACAUCUAACAACUAGUGAUAGUUGUAACCUUCUUGUACCAUAGGUAACCGGUCUACAAUAUGGAUCCCCAAUUAAUAAGAUAAGUAUAGAUGUUUUGGAGCCUCCAUUUGUUUUUAUUUUUUCCUCUAUGUGUGUCCCGUUAAUCAUUUUUACUAUUUCGAUCUUGUUGCCUUCUUUUUAUUUUUCACGAGAGAUCAUUUCAAGGUAUUACUCUAAACAUUGCAAACAAACCUUCUAUCUGAACCUAUAAGUAUCAAAUGGCUCAAGAGAAACGAUCCGCAUGGAAUGAAAUACAAUACCCGGUUCACUGUAUAUGGGGGUGAGAUUGCUAGAGUAUGAAUUGCAGGUGUUGUGGUGGAGUAAGUUUAAAGCUCUUGACAUAUUGUAAUAUGAACAUGAGUGAAAACUUCAUCGGCUUCUACUUGAUUUCUCUCGUUGUUCAACUCAACUUGAUUAGCAAGGUUCAAUGCAUAUACAUACUCACAGAUGAACUGGCUAAGCAUUCAACCACUGAUUGUGAAUGGCCUCUAUCAAUCAAAAUUUUGUGAGUAUUGGAAGAAGAUUAUUUGGGGCAUGACAUUUUUUUUUGUGUAUUCAUGUAUUCGUUAUAGAGAAUUGGCCCUGAUUUUUUUACUCAUAAUAUUGUUCUUUUCUUAGGUUUUAUAUUAUUUAACAAGUUAUUUCUUUCUCAAUUAUUUAUAAAAGUACCUCAAGGAGAGUAGGGAGUUAGAAUCAAUGAAAUUAUGUUGUGGGAAGUGUGUUUCCCCAAGUGAGAACCAUUUUGUAAUGUGAGUCGAAUCGGCUGUUAAGAAUCCAUUAGCAUUCAAACUCUCUCCAUGAAAAUAAGUUUGCAUUUUUUUUUAUACCCCAAGAGUCAAGCAAGUACAAUAAUCACAGAAGAAAAGGUUUUUGGAAUUAUUGCUAGAAAAAACAAUGUUUUAUAUGUGAAUUAGUUGGGUUGUAAGGUGCAAGCCCAAUUCAUACUAAUUCUCAUUGCAUAAAACAAACAAAUAUAGCUUAAUUUUUUUUCUUUUUGGGUAUAAUAAAACCUUGACAACAAAUUUCAUACGAACAAAGAAUGAUUGCUACGUAUAUUGAGAUCUUACUUUGCGAUUGCUCUCUUGGCUAGGUGCGUCUUCAAGGAUAUGCUAAUGGUAUUUUGCUUCUAAUAGCGAUGUUAUCUCAAUGGGUUCGCCCUCAAAAAUUCCAAAAGCAAAGAUAAAACUGUAAAAUUUUGUUUUCUUUUAUUGCUAUUUAGUUUAAUUGUUUGGUUAAUGAUUUGUUUACCAAUUAGUAAGAAAGGUGUACCUUAAUUUUCUUUGUGCUUCUUCCAAUUGAUAUAGAACCCCAUUAAUUUCUCGCUAAACCUCCUGAAAUUUCCAAAGUAAUUGGUUCUCAAAAGGAAAACAAGAUGGAAUGAGAAUCACACGAUUGCUAACAUAAAUUAAAGACCAAAUGUGUGUUACAGGGAUUGUCUGUUAUUAGAUUAUGUAGCUUUAUAAUACAUAGUAGAAUUUAUCAAAAGAAAUCAAAAAAAUGAAAAUUUGAAUAAAAAUAACAAUGAAAGAAUAAGCCAGGCUUCUUAGCUCUCUAAUUUAACGAGGACUUUCAAGACAAACAAUGUUUUACUUUGCUUCAGAAUCUUCUUUAGACUUCUAUUUAUAGUUAAAACCGUAACCCCCUAGUUAAAACCGUAACCCCCAAGAUAUCUUUAUUCUAGUACAAUUUGAACUUCGGAUUAAAAUAUACCUUUGAUAGAAUAAAUAAUUCUAUAAUGACUCUAGUUGAAUGCCUCUAAAGUUCCAACACUAAAAAGCCUUGAACUUCCUAAUAAAUUGAAAAUAUUUAAUAGUAAAACCUACAAUAUCCCAAAAUAUAUUCAUAAACUUUAAUAGAAAUUAAAAAUGUACUAGGCAUCUUGGCGUGCAUCAUUUUUAGUAUAAGACUAGAAUAUCCAUCAAAUUAGAAAUCAAACAACUGAAGACGAAUCAUAAGUUUAAGAACAUUUUUGCUGGACGUUUAGCAAGUUUCAAUGCAAAUUCCUAAUUGUCCAACUUCACAUCUAAUGGCUAGGAGCAAUUGUGAUGUUGUUAUAACACAAGUGAAGAAUCGUAUUCUAUAAUUUUCGAUAAGAAGUUGUGAGCGUACUUGAAUACGUGGGUCAAGAUUGUUUGAGAUGAUUCAACUCAGUCCGCCAGAAAUCCAACAUUACGAAACAAAGAAAAACAUUCAAAUGAGAUAAGCACAAUGAAGCCCUUCAUUUCCAAAUAUGAGAGAGUGGGAGAGAGAAGAGAUACAUGUUUAUCUUAGAGGCCAAAUUAUCUUCAAACCUCAGCUUCCAAAGGUCUUCAUGGACACGUUGUUUUACCAAGUCGAUCGUAGCGCAAAUAUCAUUUGAGACAGUGCACUAUAACAUCAUUUACUAUUAUUAUAAGUACUCCUAGCUCUUAGUAAUCAAAUCGAAUAGCUUGAGGUGUGUCAUGAAGUAUGAGAAAUUCCUUUUAGCUUUGAGUCUAGUCAAUUACACACAACCAUCCAAUUUAAACUUUGAUAGAAAGGAUUGAGUAUGACCUCCUUGUACUAAAAUAAGAGGGAACUUUCCAUGUGACCCCAACAACAUAUGAGUUAUAUGGGACCCCACUUCUUAGCCGUUCUUUCUUAAUCAAGCAACUACAGUUGUUUAUACCACAAUAUCAUGCUAAAUAUUGUUUUAUUUUUAAUUAUUGUCUACAAAAACUUUUUGAAUAAAAUUUUGGGCAUCCAAUGAUAAAAUUAGGGCGAAGCUGGAAAAAACUAAAAAUAAAUAUUUUCCAUAAAAAUAAAUGACCAAAAUACCCCUGACAUUUUUAGGGUAUUCUGGUAAUUUUUUAUAAUCGGAUUUAUUUUUUUUUAAUCAUGUGCGCCAUUGUUAGAUCUAUGCAUGUCACAAAUUUUGGCUUAAAAUGAUUUAUAGAAUAAAAAUUAAAAAUAAAAAACUCUGAGUCGUCCGAUCAAGAUCUAAUGGUUAAGAGCAAGCUUGUGAUAUUGUUAACUCAAGCCAUCUACUAAGAUCUGACAGCUGAGAUCAGGGUCACAUAUAAUACAUAUGUGGGUGGGGUUCCAAAGAAACAUUUCCCCUAAAAAUGGCAUAUUUAUAUACUUUUCUACAUUAUUAUCAGUGCGACUCGAGAGUAAACCAAACCACAAAUUUUAAUACACACAAUCACAUAACAAGAGAGAUAUGAUACUUACUUGUUCAUCCUGAAACCUUUGUGAAGCUUUUUCUUUUUGUUUUUGAAGUUGCAUAUCUAACAAAAAUGGCACUUCAUAUGAACUUAGGAAUAAAACAAAAAGGAAACAUGAGAGCUUAAUAGAGGACACAAAUAAAAAGCGAGUAGAACCCAUUAAAUAUUAAGCUAUUACCUCACACGUACAUGCACAGGAAGGUUCAUAUAUUGAGAAAAAUUUCUUCAACCUAGGACAUAGACAAAGGGAAAAAAAAUAAAAAUAAAGAUAAGAGAUAUAGUCAUGAUGAAACUAAAUAUUCAAUGUAAUAAGAAAAUAAAGAAAUGGUUAGUUUAGUGACCUAUCCUUCCCAGAGAAAACACUGAGCUUUCCAUUUUGGAAGAACAUGAUGAGAGCAAUAUCAAUGUCACAAAGAACAGAGAGCUCAUUGGCCUUGUUGAGGAGGUCAUUCUUCUCAUUGAGUAAGUAGGUCACUUGCCUGUUUGUUUUGUCCUCUAUCUUCUUUAUUUGAAUCUUUACUUGCCCCAUUGUCUCCUUGCUAAUGUAGUUUUGACCCAAGAAGCAAUUCGGGCCAAUUUACAGGCUUAAGAGCUCCAUGCUUAAAAAAAGGUGGAAAGAGAGACAAGCCAAUUUAUAGGCUUAGGAGCUCCAUGCUUAAAAAACGGUGGAGAGACAAAAGGGCAGAAAAAGCUGACGAUAAGUCCAGCCCGCAUGGUUGACAAAUACAAAGAAUAGAAUCGAGGGUAAAGGGAAAUUUUUAUUGGUUUGCAAGUGCAUUUGAGAGAGAGAGAUGGGGUGGUGUAAGUACGUUUUGUUGCGUGCUCUAUCUUUGUCUACGUCAUAAGUAAGUUUAUCCUUGUGUAUUCAAGCCAUAGUUAGCAAAUCGGCAAUUAAGUAUUUUUAUAAAAAACUUUUAAGACGAAAGUUUGGCAAAAAAACAAGUUUUUUUUUAGAAAAACAUUUAAAAUGCGAUUUUAAGAAAAACAAAUUAAACUGGACCAAAAAAACAUAUCCUUUUUCUAUCUGUAAAUUUUUUUUGAAAGAUAAAAAACAGUAACUUUUUCCUGUUUUGUGUAUUGUUAUUUUCAUACUUUUUAAAAAUGCAUAUUAUUUCCAUAAAAACUUAGAAUAGAAAUUUUUAUCACCAACAGGUUUAUGUAUCAUUGGGGUUUGUGUUGAAAUCAUGUUCUUCUUCAAAGCCGUAGUUGCAGAUUGAAUAUAUGAGUUUUUUUUUUUUUUUUAACUUAAGCAUAUGCAGAUUUCAAUAGUUAUUAUGAAAAAUCAUUGUGUAAAGGAAACACUGUUUAUGGCAAAUUAUUGUGCAAAGGAAACUAUUGUGUAAAAAAAAUCAUAUGGAUGCAGAUUUAUGUAAUUAUUUGUGAUAAUAGUUAAUAGAAAUAUUGUUUAUGGCAUAAAACCAUCCAUAUUAUCAUAAACUACGGCUCAAAAGCAUCCAUAUUAUCACAAAUUGGGGAUCAAACCAUCCAGAUUAUCACAAAUUAGAAUAAUAUUAGAAUCAAAUUAGAAAAAAAAAAAAAAAUGAAAACCAUUGAAUAAAAAAUCAUAAAAUUUUUGCUUGACAAAAUUGCACCAAAAAGUCAAUCAAAAUUAAGACUCAAAGACCAUCCAGAUUACGCAUUUAACACAAAAGCUUAAAAAAAAAAAAAAUCUUAAAAAAUUAGCAAACAUAAUCCUUGUUCCUCUGUGCGUGCUGCUUCUCUCUCUUACAAAUUAAAGAGGAAAUCAACCUAAUAACCAACUCUUCCCAUGGGUUAUACCCAGAUUGAUUUUAGGGUUUUGGGAUUUUCUCGCUCCUGCAAAUUACAGAGGAAAAGAAAAGCCUAGAAAUAGAGUGAUGUUAUAGUGGAAAGCCUAACCAUAUAGAUUUUAGGGUUCUGGAGUCUUCUUUUUCCUGCAAUUCGUGUAUCCCCCAUUUUCUUUUCUCAUGCUUAAACCAUUGUACCCAAUUCAUAUACAUCACAUUCAACCACAUGCUUUGAAUCUUCCUGCUCUUGCAAAUUAAAGAGGAAAACCAAGGGAAACGAAAGAUGUGCUUUUCUUCUCUAAAAACAGAGUACCCAAAUGGAAUGUUUCUCUCUCUAGAAACAGAGUACCCAAAUGCUACCAGCCCUAUUUUCAAUGAAGUAUAAACCCAACCAUUAGCCAUAGUUAUAGAGUGACACCAUUAAAUGAGAAAAACAUUGUGUAUUUUCUUUGGUGUGUUCUUAAGUGGGAUGGUUGUUAAAGUAUUUAAUGAGAAAAUUUAUAUGGUGUAUUUUUUUUGGUACGUACUUAAGUAGUUCCAUGUUCAUUAAAGCAUUUAAUGAAAAAAUUUAUAUGGUGCAUUUUUUUUUAGUAUGUAUUAAGUAGGUGUGAUAUUUGUUAAAGCAUUUAAUGAAAAAACUCAUAUGGUCUAUUUAUCAUGAACUUAUUAUUUUAUUUUUAUUUCUACUUAACUUUAUUAAAUUGUAUAUAAUGCAAAUUAAACACAUAUUUACUUUCAAUGCUUUCUAUAAGUAGCCUACCAUGCUAUUUUAUGUACCCAUUAACUAGUUAGGCUUGUAGAUUGCUUUGAGGUAGUUCAUAUGAAGAGCAUGAACCCCAAAUGUGUAUGCACUUAUAUAUUUUAUAUUUUAUAUUUUAUUAAAAAAAUGAAAGAAGAAACAAUAGAUGGUCAAAAGAUCCUUUUUUGGGAUUACUGUGAAGAAAGAUGACAUUAAUUGUAUUACAAAUUUUUAGGUGAACGCUUUUAUGCGGGGAUAACAAGAUUCAAAUAUCACUUGUCAAGAUAACAAGCGAAUAAUAAAAAAGCUUGCCCUCAAGUACUUGAUGAUGUACAAGCUUUGGUUAUCACUGCACCACACGAGGUAUCUUCUAAGCCCUCAAAGAAGAAGAUCUAAAUUACAUCAUAUGUUUAAAAUGAUGAUCAAGAUUCGAUAAACUUAGAUAAUUAGGAUGCAUCACUUGGUACCUCAACGACUAAUUCUCGUUUACAAUAAAGUUCUCUACCAUCAUUGUUUGAUAAGAAAAAGAAAGAUUUUAUUGACAAAGAAGUUGCUUGUACAUUUAUCAUGAAUAAUAUAACAUUUAGUAUUAUUAAUGCACAAUCAUUUGUUAAUAUGAUAAAUACAUGUAUGAAUUUUGGUGUUGGGUAUACAUUGCCAAGUUAUUCAUCUAUUCACACUAAAUUGAUACAAAAACUUAAGAUAGAGUCGAUGCAUAUGUAGCUUCAAUAAAAUAUUCAUGGGUUCAAUCAGGAUGCAUUUUUAUAUCAGAUCUCUGAUCGGAUAUGAAAAACCAGUCAUUCCUCAAUGUUGUUGCACCUUGUUCUAAUGGAUCAAUUUUUAUAAAUGCAUUUGAGGUAUUUGAGCAUAACAUAACUGAAUUAUUUAUUGAAAAAAAAUUUAUUUAAGUCAAUGACGAGUUAGGACUAUAUAAUAUUGUUCAUCUUGUAACUGACAAUAGUUCAAAUUAUAUACUUGCUAGUGAUCUAAUAGAAUCGAUAUUCCCUCGUAUUCAUAAAAUCAUGGUAUGCUACCCAUGGGUUGGAUUUGUAUUUAGAAGACAUUGAAAAGGAUGUCAUUUGGGUACAAGAUAUCAUUACGGAUGCUAAGCUUUAUGUAUCGGCAUACCAUUGUUUUAGAUAAAAUGAGAAAAUACAUAAUAUAAGGGAAUUGAAAAAGUAUCGUACAAGUAGAUUUUCCACUAAAUUUUUUAUGGUUCAAUCUGUAUCACAAGUAAAAGAGGGAUCGAGAUUAAUGGUUGCAUCAUUUAAGUGGAGCGCUAUAAAUUAUAGCAAGAGUAAAAAUGAGACAAAAAUCACAUAAAUAAUUCAAAGCUUCAAUUUUUGAAAUGAUGCAACAGAUACAAUCACUACAUUAGAGCCUCUUAUCAAAGUGCUUCAUUUUGGUGAUAGUGAGGGGUCCAACAUGGGAUAUUUAUAUGAAGCAAUGUGAAGGGAAAGGGAAGAACUAAAGAGGAAUUGUAAUGGCAAGGAAUCUAGAUAUUUUGAAUUGUUUAAGAUGUUUGAAAAAAAAAAAAGGAAAUAUAAUUCACCUCAUUCAAGUUGCAGCCGCAUUUCUUAAUUCAACUUUAGUGUGUGAUGGGUUUGUUAAACUUAAUCCUGAAGUGAAAGCUUGCUUUACCUUGAUUUUAAAUACAAUGAUCCAAACAAAACAUAAAAAUGUAUUCGUUUAAGAGUUGUUAAAGUACCAUAUGCGGGAUUCAAAUAUAUUUGAUCGUGUUGAAAUGGGAUUAUUGUCAAUAACUCAUCCUCGUAAUUAUCUUCUUGACUAUUAACUUUUUGUAUCUUCUUGUAUUAUUUAUUUUUUUGGUAUUUUAAGAAAAUAAAUUUUAUUUCACUUUUAAUGGUAUCUUGAAUAUGUGGCUAAAAAUUUAUCAUUAUGUAAGAGUUUGGUGGGAAGUAUGUGAAAAAAAGAUUCCAUUGAUUUGAAUGGUUGCCAUUCAGAUUUUGAGCCAACCAUAUAGCUCAUCAGUGUGCAAAAGAUAUUGGAGAGCUUUCGAGGCAACUCAAACUAAAAAAAUGAAUAGAUUGACACCAGUUAUGUUAACCGACUUGGUUUACAUAAGAGUGAACUUGAAGAUGAUGGCUGCAUCUUGUGAAAAUGAAAUUCGUGAUUGUAAUACAAUUAGUCUUGAACUACUUGGUUUUUUGCCGUAACAGGUUUCCAAAGAGGCGAAAAAUGAGGAUACCUCCCCAGAUGAUGAUCAUGAUGAUGAUGAUGCAAGGCUACAUGACUUAGGGAUUACACAUUUCCAAACUCUUUUUUUUUUUUCCUUAUGUUUAAUUUUGAAUAUUUCUAGUUAAUUUUGUAAUUAAUAUUGGAUAAUGGGAAAAGAGCCAUGAUGCAUCUAAAUUAAUUGACUUAAUUAUAUUAAUCUUGUAAAGUUUUUAUGGAAGGAUUAGUUAUUGAUGACUUUAGCAUAUUUUUUAUUUUUUAGAAUUUAAGAUUUCUAAUAUUUUAAACUUAUCCAUUUUUUUACUCCGAUUUUUUUAGCGUAGUCUGGAAUAUUUAUGAUAUCUUUACAUGAAGCAUUUUUGUGGAUUCAUAUUUUUUACCUGAUUUUUUCAUCUGACUUUUUAAAAUAAAAAAGAGUUAUUUUUGAUUUUAUGGUACCGAUUUAUUGAUAGUCCCCGACUUGCUAACUAUGAUUCUAGCUACAAGAAGUGUUACUUCUCUCUAGUGAAGCAAUAAAUAUGCCCCAAACAACAUUUAAAAUGUCACUUUCUUCUUUUCUUCUUCCUUUUCUGUUUAUGAUAUGUUGAUGCUAGGAAUGAGGGUAUGAGACAUUACGUUGAGACAUCUGCCCCCCUUAACCACCCAGAGCUACCCUCAUUGUUAAAUGAUAUUUAUUUUUCAUAAUUUAUUUUUCAUUGUAUCAUAUAAUCAUACUAAACCUACUCAUAUUAUCAUCAUGGGAACUUUUUUCUAACUAAUUGGGGUCAACUACAUGAAUCCUGGUGCCUAUUCUGUUCUAUUUAGGCCAUUCCAAUAUUGAGGCCAUAUAAUAAUAAAAAAAAAAUUGUUCUUCAAUCACAUUGUGCCAAGAUGCAUCUUUUCCAUCCCUUCAAUAAAAAGAUGCACCAAGAUUCAAUUGAGCUGCAUUUUCAAUGGCAACAAUUUUCGAUCCGAUAGUUCUACUUGCUCUCACAUGAAUUCUAAAUUCCCAUAGCACUGUAGAACCUUGUUUCAUCAAAAAACAAUAGAGGACUAAGGUGCAUUUUGGUGCAACAUUCACAUACAAAAAUUUCAUUACACAACAUGUUACUAUGUAAGCAUGCCAAGCAAGCAAAGUAGUAACUGACCAUAAUGCUUUUCUCCUCUCAUUACUCUUUUAUAUAUCGUAACUAACACAAUGGUUGAACUUUCGUUCGAAGAAAGUACUCCAUAUAUUUGCUAUUUAUGACAUCCAUGGUAUGUGGCCAAAAUGCUCAUUGUUGGUUAUUAAUAAGACAUUAAUGACGAACACCAUAGAUUAGUUGUUUGCGGUUUUGUUCGUAAUAGUAGCCGGCUACAAUUACGAAAAAAGACCGCCAAAGAAAUGUAACGAAGUUAUGUUGGUGUUUUCAUCUCAUGGCAAGGCAUGGAACACAAGGUUAAAGGUUCAACUUUUAGCCUGCAUACUGAAAGAUCAUCAAUGUCUAUAGUUUCUAUUUCUUGCUAAUAUUAUUGUUGUAAUUUCAAAGUUAUAGCUUAAGGCGAUGGCAUAAGUGCAUUCUAAUUGAGUCAUACGUACCAACUAAUUAAAUAUAAUAGUCCAGUUUGGAAUAAGUAGAAAGUUCUUACCCUUGUACCGACAAAGAAAUGUAAUGAAGUGGCUAGAGGAAAAGGUAAUCUAGUCAUUUUUCCUAGAGGGAGUGCUGCUUCCACCUAAAUGAAAACCUAGAGGUGGUCAUGAUAAUUCAUUUCGUAUUGCGAACAAAGCAAAAAUAAAUAAUCAGGGUAGGAGAUUGGCAAACGUAAAUUAUAUAGAAGAGAAGAGAGAGAGAGAGCAAGAGAAAGGGCGAGCGGCUGGCUGUUGCGAAGAAAGGGCAAGCGGCUGGCUGUUGCAAAGAAAUGGUGAGCGGCUAGCUGUCGCAAGCGAGCCGCUUACGGGUGAAAAAAUAGGGCACAGGUGUGAAGAGGGGUGUGUUAUCGAGGUGGGAAUAACUUCUAUUUUUAAGUUCCAUGGUUUACCAUGGAACUUUUUCUAUGUGUAAAAGUGGGAACAUGAAUAGGAAAUGAAUUUCUAUUUUUGUCUUAUCUUUUUUUUUUAUCAAAUACAGAAUAUGAAUGGUAACAUGUAAAUUCCAUCUUUGGAGAAUCAAACACGUCUAAAGAGAAGAAACACCCCGCUCUUUAGCCUAUAGCCUAAAUUUCUCAUUUCUUUGAUAAAACCUGCGUUAGCAAGGAGAAAAUGGGGCCAAAAAAGCUUCCAAUUAAAAAGAUAGAGAAUAAGACGAACCAAAAGUGAGCUACUCUGAAGGGAGGAAUGUCCUCCUCAAGAAAGCCUAUGAGCUCUUCAUUCUUAGUGACAUCGAUAUCGCUCUUAUCAUAUUCUCUGAAAAAUAACAAGCCUUGCUUUUUCUCUAGGAAAAAGAGGUAAUUAGACUAACAUUUUUCUUGUUUACUUUGAGGUAUUCAUCGAUCUUGAUCAUGACUUGGUCUCUUAUAUUUUGUUGUUUUUGUCUGUGCUAUUUGUGCUUUUUUACAUGCUUGAGCAAGCUUUUGAACGCUAUAUGAACCUUGAUGUGCCUGUACAAGGGAGGUAAGAGUUUAAAAUUUAAUGGUUCUCUUGUUUCUCAAUGGUGUGUUUUAUUAAGUUUUCAUGUUCACUUUUUGGUUUAUUCUCAAUUGGGUUCCUCUGCUCUACCAUUUAUGUUUGAUAUGCAACUUCUAAAGGCUUCAAAAUAAAGAAGUGUAUGCUCUCUCUUGUGCUAUGUGCAUUCAAAUUUGUGAUUCUAUUACCUUUUGAUUCAGACUGAUUAUAAUUUUUAUACAAUUUUUAUACAACGAUUGUCUUUGCAACAAAGUUUCCUAGAAGACCUCAUGAAGCUGACGCCUUAAGACGAUUUGGCCUCUCAAUUAAGUGGGUAUCUCUCUCUCUUACAAACACAUGAAUGCGAAUUCAUGUUUGUAGAUGAAAGGCUUUAUUUGUGCUUCCCUUAUUUGAAUAUUUUGUUUUGUCUUCCUAUGUUGGGUUCUUUAUGGAUUGUCUUAAAGCAUCUCAAAUAGUCAUCAUCCACGCAUCGAGGUAUGCUCACAAGUUAUUUAUCGGAAAGUAUAUACUAAGAUUGUCUAGUUUUGAUGUAAGAAGGUCAUGAAAACUCCAAAUCACUACAUGUUGAAUCAGACGAGGGGUGUGCCAUUGGUCUAGAACAAAUUCCAAGAAAAAAACUAUUGAACUUUGCAAGACAUCCAUAACAACUCGGUUUUGAAUCUAAUGGCUGGGGUGAUGAUGAUCUUCUUGUAGCAUAAUGAUGCUUCUUUAUGGAGUUAUUUAUAUUAAGGAAAUUUAAUCAAAAUACACUUAUUUUUGGACUGUUUAGCGUCUUACCAAUAUAUUUUUAUCUAAUUUCAAAUUGCUCAUCAAAAUGGGUUUCAAAAUGACACAUCAAAAUGGGUUUCAAAUUUUCGAAAACUACACAUAAGGUAGGUAUUAAGUACUUCAAACUUUAUAUGUAUUUUGAUAGAUUGUACUUAAUUUCUUUGGGGUAAAACUUCUAUUGCAAAUCUUAUUUUAAUUAGAAGUACUUGUUAUACUAGAAUUAUGAUUUCUUCAUGUAUAGACACUCUGAUCUCGACUGGAGAACGACUGGAGAAGUUAUGGAUAGGUUGAAAUGUCUAGGCAGACCAUGCAAAUAGUUAAACCAUUCACCUCACUAGAACCUCUUCUCUGUAAAUCUAGCCUCCACCAAACCCUUAUUGCUCUAAUGGGACUAAAGGCAUCAAGAGAUCAAACAAGGCGAGACAGACUCAUACCAAAGCCGCAUUAAUGAGUAAUUAAUAUUUCCUGACCGUAAUUAUUGUAACAUUAAUGACAUGGUAUCAUUCCAACCAGCGUCAAUGCCAAUCCAAGUAUCGUUAAGGUUCUGAUGGUCCAAAAAUUGCACAAAACCAACCUACAGGCUGUCAUGAGUCCAUUUUGCCUAUAAAUAACCCAUUUUGCCUCAGGUUUAGUGGGGAAGCUGCCUGAAUCUUGAGCCAAAACUUUGUCAGAGUUCCCUUAAUCUUGAGCCUAGGCUAUGCCCAAAAAUCUCUUGAUCUUAAGAUUAUAUUUGAGAUUAUGAGAAAAGCCCCAAGGUGAGCCCACUUGAGCAAUCCCGAUUCCAUCCAAACCCUUCAAUCCAAAAUUAUAACUAUAACUCCUUCAAACUGCACUACUAACCAAAGGCGGUCAAGAUAAUCAGGCCAUUCGGACCCUCUUUUUCCUAUUUCUACUUACCCCGUUAAAAACCAAGAAAGUUCAGGAUUGACUAUGCAACCUUACAAUCUAAAUUAGUGCCGACUCUGAGCAUCAGGUCUGAGGACCCGGCUUAAAUAUUAUUUUCUUUACCUUUUCAUUGAUUUUUCUAGCAUUUAUUUUAAAGUGAUGGCUUUCUUCUUCCCUUUCUUUAUUUCAUGAUUUAACUUCUAUUUUCUUGUUCUCUUAUUCUUGCAUUUACUUCUCUCUUAGCUAUUUUUAUAUAUGUUUUUCCCUAUUUUCCCUUAUUCAUGAUCCUACCUACAUUUCCUUGCUUUGUCAUUCAAUGUAGUAUUUAAUAUGCAUAGUAAGUUAUAUUUAAUCAUCUCUUUUAUUUCCUUCUCAUUGCAUAAUCAUUUUCCCUUUGAUAACUUGCAUUUAUUUCUUUUAUUGUGUUGUAUUUAUUCAUCUUCUUUGCUUCCUUAUGCAGUAUCAUGGAUCUUCUCUUCUCCAGCAACUCUCUAUUUCGCAUUUUCUUCAUUAAAUAAUCACACUUCUCUUCGUAGUAACAUUUACCUCUUGUUAAGUUUGGUGCAUUUUUUCCUUUUCUCAUUUUAUUCUUUUGUGAUGUAGAUCUCCCCCAUUUUCCCAUCCUCUUUAGUGUAGAUUUAUUUUAUUUAUCUUUCAUGAGUAUCUAUUCUCCUUGUUUGUUAUAUUGAUGCUUCCUCCUAGUUUUCUUUAUUUGAUAGCAUAGGCUCUCUCCUCUCACCCCAAUCUCUCAUCUAUUUUAUUACAUGGUUGUUUUCUUUUUUCUCGUUAUAUCUACCUCUUUUAGUUUGUUGUGUUUAUUUAUUUUUCCCCAUUUUCUCACUUGAUAGCAUAGAUCUUGCCGUCUUCUUCACCCUCUCAAUCAAACAUUCAUUUCUUUUUCUUUAUUAUGGUUAUUUUUCUCUAUUAAUGAUAUAUUCUCUCUCCUCUUCCAUCUCAUAGUUUAACUAUCAUCUCUUUCAUCCCUCUCAUUCUUCAUUCUCUCGUAUGCUUAUUUUUCCCCUUCCCCUUAUGUUUUGUUCAAUAGUUUAGCAUCUCUUAUUCUCUUCUUGUUGUAUCUAUUUGUCUUAUUAGUAAUUUGUAUUCAUCUACUUCUCUAUCUCUUUUUCAAUGCUUCAUUUUCUAUUUCUCUCUAUCUCACUUAUAUUAACACUCUUUCAAAUACUAUUUCCUUCUAUCUCUUUCUUCUAUUUAGUUUUAUUACUCUCAAUGCAUGUUAUUUACUAGUAUUAGCUUUCUUGUCCCUCUCUCUCAUUUUAUCUCUUCUCAGGUUAUAUUAUUAUCUUUAUUCGCAUUCAUACUCAUAUCUCUCUACCUUGUUGAUGAGGACAUCAUCUCUUUUCUUCUUCAUAGUCAUACUCGCAUUUCCAUAAUACUCUUUCAUUCUAUGUUACACAUGUGUAGACUAAACUCACUUCCUUUGUCUCCAUGCUCUCUAAUUUGUUAUUCUUACUGCAUCUUGUAGUUAGAUUCUCCACCCAUGUUUAUGUGCAUCUCCCUAGUUUAGUUGUUUAUUUGUGGUUCUCUUUCUUUGUUCGCUUCCUAAAUCUAUUUUCUUAAAACCCUCUUUUUAUCCCAAACCCCUUUUUAAAAGCUUUCUUGGUUGCGUUUCAAGGUUAAAAUAGUAGGAAAGUCGGCUUUGUCGGCGAUCCGAGAGGGAGAAUGUCUUAAGACCUGAUUCUUCCUCGGAGCGUAAUUUGACAGAACUCAUACUCUACCAAUUCAUCGAUUUGUUUGCACUUGAAACCAAAGCGGGGCCGAAGUCCCUUGCCCGCAAUUUCGAAUAUAAACACGAGGGUUGAGGUUCAAGAUAUAAAUAGAGGUCGAUAUAUGAUUUUAGAAGCAUAGUAUCAUAGUUAAAGUAGAGAGCUAAGACGCUUGGCUUUUUCUUUCACCAUAUUUCUCAAUCAAAUUUUUAUUUCAUGGAGAUCUUUAUAUAAAUUAUCCAAUGCAUUGCAAAGAUAAAUAACCUUAUAAUAUACAAUCCCCUUACUGUUGAUCUUUCAUGUCCCUUUCCUCUACAGUCUUGUGAUUCUUGUUUCAAGAACUAAUUAUUUCUUAAACAUCAGGAGCUUCUACAAUAAAUUAACUGGUUCCAACAUCAACUUGAGGAUGUAGAGAGAAAAUUAAGGUACUCAUAUUUCACUAUUUGGUAAACUUACCAUUAACCAAACUAUAUUUGAAUAAGAAGCAAAGUAAAUAAUAUUCUUUACAUCUCUAUCUUCGCUUUCAGGCUUUUUUAAGGUGAACCUAAUAGUAUAACAUCACUACCAGAGGCAGAACCCUAUGAGCAUAUCGUUCAAUAUACACUCGAGUGAUUAAUCAAUCUCAAAGUCAGAUCAUAGAAAACAUAGUAAAUUAUUCUACCCUUCUUUGUUCUUUCUAUGUUGCGUGAAAUUUGUUGUCUUCAAGUAAUAUUAUUUUAAAAAUAAAGUAUCCUCAACCAGAUUUGUUUGCCUUAUGCAGCAUGAAUUGAAAGGAACUAGCGUUGGACCUUACAACCCAACUAAUUUACAUGUUUUUUUUUUUUCUCAAGCCGAAAUUGUCAAAAUUUAAGUAUAAACCUUUUCUUCUUGGGCUGAUUUGCUGGACCCUAGUGGUAUUAAAAAAAUGCAAACAUAUAUUCAUGGAGAGAUUUCAGAUUGCUCAUCGACAACUAGAAACUUAUUCGACUCAAAUUAAGGAUUAGUUCUCAUAAUGGGAAAUACUCUCCCCACUUCAUAAUUUCAUGGAUUCCAACUCCAAGCUGUCCUUGAGGUAGUUUUCAUCUAUAGUUGAGAAAUAAAUGACCGGUUAAAAAGUAUAUAACAAAAUAAAAGACCAAAUUAAUGGGUAAUCACUACUACCAUACCACCCUCUCCAUGAUGAACGAAUAAAAAUACCACAAAAAAAAGGCCAAAAUAAUCUUCUACCAAUACCUGUAAAAUUUUGAUUUAUAAGGAUCAUCCACAUCCAAUGGUUGAAUGCUUACCGGACUCCUUUGUAGAUUCUUUAAUUAUGAAUGUAAAUGCAUUGAACCUUACUGAUCAAGUUGGGUUAAUCAAUGAGAGCAAUUGAGCGGAAGCGGAUGAAGAGUUUGCUCAAGUUGAGACUAUAACAUCUGAGCUUCCUAAAACUUGCACUGCUACAACACUUGCCAUCCAUCCUCCCACAAUCUCAAGCCCAAAUACAGUGAACCCGGUAUGGUCUUUCUUUCCAUACAAUUUACAUGUUUAUAUAUACUAGUAAGGUUUCUCUUGGGCCAGUCAAUACUUUUAAGUUCAGAUAUAGGAUUUCUUUACAACUUUUUCAAAUUAUACAUUGAAAAUAAUCUCAACCACUAUGAUCAUGAAUUUGGAAAAAAGAAAAAUUGUACUUAAAUGUUAAAAUAUUUUAUGUUAAAUGAUUCAGGAGACAUGCAUAUGCAUACUCAAGGGCAUAAGUACAAGAAAAUAUGUAAACCAAUGUAAAAUAAUGUAGGUAGUUUUCAUUGAUCAAUAGCCAUCCAUUCAAUAAAACUAAAAUUUAAAACAUACCCACACUUAUCUCAUUCAUUCGUGAUUUGUAUACUGUGAGACCCUUUAUCUAUGCUAUAAGAAGGCUACAACUCUAGUUGUCAAAGUGGAACCAGGCAGGCAAAGGAGUGUGCCAUUCUUUUUUUACACAGUUCGAAAAAUGUUAAUCAUUGAAGGUGAUGAAUGACACACUCUUCAACUUACCAAUUUCAUAUUUGAUGACUAAGAAUAAUUGUGAUUUUCCUGUGCAGAAGGUAGUUCAUUAUUAACACAUGUGUGCGUAGUCUCUCCAUAAAUAUUUUACUUCUCACAUAUUGUAUUUUCCUUUUUGGUUAAUUUAUUUCACAAAAUUCUCUUAAUAUACGAUCUUACCUGGAUGCCAUGGAGAUUAUAUUCACAGGGAAUUGGAGACUCAAGUUCGUUGACUCAAAAUUAGAUGGAAGUGGAGAGUAUGGUUCGUCGACUCAAAAUAAGGAGGAUUAGAUCUUUUGCCACUAUGCUUAUAUCAACUACACAAAACAAGGAUGACAUUUCUUUUUCUGUUUUUUUUUUUUUUUUUUUGAUAUUUCUUGGAUGACUCGGGUCUAAGAAAGCCCAAAUUCUUUCCUUUUUUGAAUGCAUUGAACACAAAUAUAAGUCCAUUAUGCAAGGAAAAGAAAAGCUAGUGUGUUUAAGCAAAAGAAAUUCGCUAAGCUCCAGCUCUUAACUUAUUUGAUGAGAAAGAGAGGGUUCCAACUCAUUACAACUCACUCAAAUCAAUGACUCUGCUAAAAGAGGGCUUUCCAACUCUCUCUUAUCAACUCUAAUUCUACAGGUUGAUAAUCUCAACUAGCACAAGCAUAAAUUUAAAAAUAUAUUUUAAACUUUACAAACAUGUUGUUUUAAAAUUUUCAUAGACUAUGCAUUUUAAUUCUUUUAAAAUAAAAUAUCAUAAAAUUUAAAUUUAAAUUUAAAUUUAAAUUCAAAUUUAAAUUCUAUUUUUAAGAUUCAUAAUCAAAGUGGUCGAGAUUAUUGGCCUAUAAAAGUUUAGUCCAAAAGUCAUUCUCUAAGAGAGAUUUUGGGAAGAGGACCACAAUAGCAACACAUAAAAUUUUCGCUUUGUUUUCCUUCAAAAAAAUAUAGGAUAAAUCACAAAGUGUCAACAAGGUUUGGUUUGGUUAGAAUUUCAAAGUUAAAGUUGAAGUACUUCCAUGGUUUACCCAUGAACAUUAUUCAGGAAAGUGUACAACGUCUGCCGGGUUACUAUGAAAAGUGUAUGUUAUUAAUAUGCAUGGGAAGGGUAGGUGCAAUAUUAUGUAUUUUAUGGUAGGUCUCAAUAUCUUCUAGGUGUCUAUGAUUCAUUUCCAUUCCUAUCGUAUAUCCCAAGUUUCUCUUCAGAGAAACUUUGGACUUUAACAAACAUGAUGUCAUUUCCAAGUACUCCCCAUGAACUGGCUGGUGUUUGUUAACCAACACUUCACAAAAAGUUUACUUUCAACUUAGUGGUGAAGGUUUUUUAUUAAAAAAAAAUUAUCUUCUUUACCCAUUCUUUUGUUUAAUUUUUCUAGGGAGAUUUAUCAAAACUCUUUAACAUUUUACCUAUUUCAUAUAAAUUUAAAAACUCAUCAAAAUGCAAAUCUUGGAAUAUUUAAAAAAUUUUAAAAUAUUAAAAAUUUGAUAAAUUAGUUAUAUAUUAAUAAAUUUUUCUUUUUAUAUUGUGGAUAAUUUGUAUUUGCAUGUUUUUUUUUCUCUAUUUUGUCGUUGGUUUUCAUUCAUGUACGUAGAGGUGAAGGGGUGUUGCUUCCAAAUAGUUAGACCCAAGAUGUGGGGGGAUAAGUACUUCUUAGCGAUGUGUAUGUAGGAGGAGGUAAGACUUAGGAAAAAAUAUUGAAAAAGUUGGAGAGAGAGAGAGAGAGAUCCACUUUUGAGUCGCUUCAUUAAUUUAAACAAGGUUGUGCAUGAGCUUGUUAAUGGUAAGAAUCAUCCUGAUCAUCUGAGUUUUAUCCCAAUAAUUUGGGGUCGGCAAUACGAAUCUUAUUUCAUAUCCUUAGUCAAACCAUUAGUCACUAGAUCUAAUCUCAUCACUUCCAUCAAUAUCUAUUUGGGCCAUCCCCUUGUCCUUUUAGUGCCUUCCAUUUGAACUAAAUCUCUCCGUCAAACCCACUACGUCCUAGGUCAACACUACACAUGACCAAGACUGCCUAAGUCUACUUUCUUUUAUUUUAUCACCUACUGGAUCUAUUCUUAAAUAUCCUCGAAUGUAUUCAUUUCGAAUUUCAUUUUUUAUUAUCAUGUCACUCAUCCAUUUCAACAUCCUCAUCUUUGCUACACUUACUAUAUGGAUAUUUUUUUCUUGACUGCUCAUACAUUCCAUCCCAUAAAACAUGGUGGCCUUCCAACCAUCCCAUAGAAAUUCCCCUUUAGUUUCAUUCGUAUGUGACCAUGACAUAAGACUUCAGAAGCACAUCUCUACUUCAUCCACCCAGCUUUAAUCAUAUAAAUGACUUUUUCAAUUUCUCCUAUCUCAUGGAUUUCAACCCAAGAUAUUCAAAUGUUAUUGGUGAUGAUACACACCCUAAAAUAUGAAAAGAAUUAUGGAGCGUUGGAGAAAGAGAGAGCAAUCGAAAGUGCACAAGAGGCAUGGUUAUAGCUUGAGCAGGGGAGCGAAACUUUUUAUACCUAUUUGAAGCAGGAUAAGCAUCGUAUGCUUCAAUAACUAAGGAAAGUUAUAGCUCAUGGGAGUGAAAGAAACUUUAAGGUGGUUGCAGCAUCCCAAUGGCAAGUCAAAUCCUCUCAAUUAUUAGACAUCAUUUCAUUCAAUAAUAUGCGAUAUACUUUUCCUAUUAAAAUUUGCCCCAUUGCUCUCAAUUAUCAUUAUAAUUUAAGAGGUGGCGUCAAGUAACUUUUUCUUUUUUCUUAAACACACACUAGCUUCUUUUGUUCCCCUUCUUAAAUGUAAAAUAACGGACUCAUAUUGGUGAAUCAGUUGUAAUAGAAAAGAAGAAAGUCUAUUGCUCAUUCUUGGACCCAAACAUCCAAAAAAAUUACGAAAUAAAAAACCAAAAAGGGUUACUAUCGUUACUUUUUA
RNAcentral lists this long non-coding RNA (22890 nucleotides) under Amborella trichopoda. Its description in RNAcentral is "long non-coding RNA (ATRI_LNC000874)". Lineage: Eukaryota; Viridiplantae; Streptophyta; Magnoliopsida; Amborellales; Amborellaceae. The record is from RNAcentral.